GACUGGGCUAUCCCGAGUGCCAUCCGCUGAGGAAGGCUUUUACCCAGUCUAGAACGCUGGGGGAAUAAGGAGAGGGCAAGUCUGGUGUCAGCCGCCGCGGUAAUACCAGCUCUCCGAGUGGUGUGGAUGUUUAUUGGGCCUAAAGCAUCCGUAGCUGGCUAGGUUAGUCCCCUGUUAAAUCCACCGAAUUAAUCGUUGGAUUGCGGGGGAUACUGCUUGGCUAGGGGACGAGAGAGGCAGACGGUAUUUCCGGGGUAGGGGUGAAAUCCUAUAAUCCCGGGAAGACCACCAGUGGCGAAUGCUGUCUGCUAGAACGCGCCCGACGGUGAGGGAUGAAAGCUGGGGGAGCGAACCGGAUUAGAUACCCGGGUAGUCCCAGCUGUAAACGAUGCAGACUAGGUGUUUGGACGGCCACGUGCCGUUCUAGUGCCGCAGGGAAGCUGUUAAGUCUGCCGCCUGGGGAGUACGAUCGCAAGAUUGAAACUUAAAGGAAUUGGCGGGGGAGCAC
Molecule: ribosomal RNA, 508 nt
Filed under: uncultured archaeon
Lineage: Archaea
Description: bacterial SSU rRNA
Rfam family: Archaeal small subunit ribosomal RNA
Source: RNAcentral